CCGGAAAAAUUGAGAUAAGUUCACAUAUAUUCUUCGAAAAAAAGGGGAGCAAAGAUUUUCUCUCAAAGCAUUAUUGCUUCUCAAAUGUUACUUUUAUUCUUGAAAGGUGGAUAUGAUAUCGUAUUAAACAGAUAUUCCUUAUGAGUUCUUAUUGAGUAACAAUAUAUUCAUUGCUUCAUUGUUGCAAUUUCAGCCAACCAGUUUUGCUGAUUGUUCACUUUCAUUGUGUUGAAAGAGGGUAUAGAUGUUUGCCAGGGAACAAUUUGAAGAUGCCAUGAAAUCUUCCGCUGUGGCUAUCUGUCAUUUGAAAGUCUUUCAAAACUGGUUGCCUUGUUAAACAUCACCUUAUUGGACACAUUAUUGGGAUUGCCAAGGAGGGGGAAGUCCUGAUCUAGAGGAGGUCAUGUCUGUUAUUGUCCACUUGCAAUUAUGAUGGGA
This 438-nucleotide long non-coding RNA is filed under the name Elaeis guineensis (African oil palm). RNAcentral's name for it is "long non-coding RNA (EGUI_LNC025237)". Lineage: Eukaryota; Viridiplantae; Streptophyta; Magnoliopsida; Arecales; Arecaceae. The record is from RNAcentral.